This is a long non-coding RNA of Telopea speciosissima, 219 nucleotides long. RefSeq lists it as uncharacterized. The transcript has 3 exons. Lineage: Eukaryota; Viridiplantae; Streptophyta; Magnoliopsida; Proteales; Proteaceae. The record is from RefSeq and is a predicted model, not a curated record.
AGUGUGUGGAGAAAAUAGUUAAUCAAAGAAAGAUGGCUGACAAUUCCCAGGCUCAGAACCUCAGCUACAAAGCUGGCGAGACCAAGGCCCAUGCUCAGAUGAACAAGGACCAGAUGAUGGAUAAGGCAGCCAACGCUGUCAAUUCUGCCAAGCAAUCAUGUCAAGAGACUGGUCAGCAAAUGAAAGCCAAGGCAGAAGGAGCCACGGAUGCAGUCAAGA